Zootermopsis nevadensis is the source of this 919-nucleotide long non-coding RNA. RefSeq lists it as uncharacterized. The record is from RefSeq and is a predicted model, not a curated record. Lineage: Eukaryota; Metazoa; Arthropoda; Insecta; Blattodea; Termopsidae.
CUGGCGGUCAGCAGUUUCCGGUUUCAUAAUGGUGGACACGAAACAUCGCUUUUGUUUCGGGGUGAUUUGUGAAAAUUUACAGUGCGGUAAUAAUGCUUGUGUUAAUAAUUCUUACAAUAAAUAAUACGAAAGUGAUUUUUAGUAAUGUAGUGUGCCAAUAUAAUCUUUAAAGUCUCGUCAGAAGAGAACAGGGAAGUUUACUUGUAUCUGUUUUCUCGAUGGUGUAGCGUGGGAAUUGUGGCUUCUUGUUGGGCGUAUGAAACCUUUUCUCACACAAUCAUAUGACUGAUUGUACGUGAUAUGUUACUACCUUAAAAUUUAUAGACAAAGUAUAGUUCUGUUUUAAAUUAAUUGUGUGGUGUGCCACGUCGAAGGAUAUCAUUUUACGUGUAGUUGUACAAUGCCGCCCAUACAAGCUUCCAAUACGAAGAUCUGUGUUCAACCCGUGCGAUCGUAAUGGACGACAUAUUUAUGUUCAAAUAUUUAUUUGCUGGGACUACAGUGUCUUCCUACAUCAGAUCUGACUGACACAGAAUCUGCAGGAUAUUUCCGUCCGCAUCUAAGAUAUACCCGGUCAGUGAAGUUGCUGUCUGUGGACUGGAUACCCGAGGUUCGAUUCUUUUUUCACCGCCAGUCCGGUCCAGCCCUGUGACCCAUCCAGCCUCCAAUACAAUUGCAGUGUAUAAUUGCCAGGCCAAACAGAUGAACUGACAAACGUUGAUCCCCAGCGACAGACGCCUCUCUGAAUGAAAACCAAGUGUUGAAAAUUUCUGCCAGCUCUUGAAGAGAAGUUUGCGUUAAGCAAUUUAAAAUUAGCACAAGUGAACGCGAGACAAAGAGAGGAUGAAGGAGACAGAAGGGGAAUGUGGAAUGAGUCCAGUGGACGGAUACAAACUAAAGAACAUUGCCUUGAAUUUAG